RNAcentral lists this long non-coding RNA (738 nucleotides) under Prunus persica (peach). RNAcentral describes it as "long non-coding RNA (PPER_LNC008746)". Lineage: Eukaryota; Viridiplantae; Streptophyta; Magnoliopsida; Rosales; Rosaceae. The record is from RNAcentral.
UUUUGAGUGAAAUCCAAUCUCUAGAACUAUACAAUACACCAAUUACCCAAUUUCAGAACGAACUUCGUACGAACCUGAAUUGUCCGAUUUCAAGGACCAAUCGAUAUCAGAUUAAGUUCAAAACUUGGGGAACAUCAUAAUAUUUUGGGAGGAGUCAUUUGGUGGGUUUUGAGUGAAAUACAAUCCUUAGAACUAUACAAUACACCAGCCACUCCAUUUCAGAACGAACUUCGUACGAACCUGAAUUGUCCGAUUUCAAGGACCAAUCGAUAUCGGAUUGAGUCCAAAACUUGGGGAACAUCAUAAUAUUGUGGGAGUAGUCAUUUGGUGGGUUUUUAGUGAAAUCCAAUCUCUAGAACAAUACAAUACACCAAUCACCCCAUUUCAGAACGAACUUCGUACGAACCUGAAUUGUCCGAUUUCAAGGACCAAUCGAUACCGGAUUAAGUCCAAAACUUGGGGAACAUCAUAAUAUUGUGGGAGUUGUCAUUUGAUGGGUUUUGAGUGAAAUCCAAUCCCUAGAACCAUACAACACACCAAUCACACCAUUUCGGAACGAACUUCGUACGAACCUGAAUUGUCCGAUUUCAAGGACCAAUCGAUAUCGGAUUGAGUCCAAAACUUGGGGAACAUCAUAAUAUUGUGGUAGUAGUCAUUUGAUGGGUUUUGAGAGAAAUCCAAUCUCUAGAACUAUACAACACACCAACCACCCCAUUUCGGAACGAACUUCGUACGAAC